GACGAACCGUGCAAACGUUGUUCGGAAUCACUGGGCUUAAAGGGCGCGUAGGCGGGUUCGCAAGUCUGUGGUGAAAGCCCCCAGCUUAACUGAGGAAGUGCCGUGGAUACUGCGAGUCUUGAGGAGGGUAGGGGCAUCUGGAACACUGGGUGGAGCGGUGAAAUGCGUUGAUAUCCAGUGGAACUCCGGUGGCGAAGGCGAGGUGCUGGACCCUUUCUGACGCUGAUACGCGAAAGCCAGGGGAGCAAACGGG
RNAcentral lists this ribosomal RNA (253 nucleotides) under uncultured bacterium. RNAcentral's name for it is "partial 16S ribosomal RNA". It matches the Rfam family "Bacterial small subunit ribosomal RNA", at positions 524 to 776 of the family's 1533-position model. The record is from RNAcentral.